RNAcentral lists this long non-coding RNA (845 nucleotides) under Polistes fuscatus (common paper wasp). Its description in RNAcentral is "uncharacterized LOC122518038". The record is from RNAcentral. Lineage: Eukaryota; Metazoa; Arthropoda; Insecta; Hymenoptera; Vespidae.
CCGCGAAUGGCGAUCAACGCGUGGUUUGUUAAGUGGUCAAUUGGAGUAGCGGCGGGAGAUUGAAAUGAGAGUUUAAAUGCCGCGUUUGACCUUGGAUUUACAAUCUCUACUACAGGUGUUACGGCUGUGUAAAUCUCAGCCACGUAUUAUAUAUUAUAAAUGCAAAUCUAUAAAUAUAUCGCAUAAAAAGAUAUUUCAACAUUUGAACGUUGAUUUAUACGCCAUUGUUAUCGUCAUCAUGGAAUUACGGUGGUGAUAAUUACGAAACUACACCCUACGUCAUAAGCAUUCGUUACGACAUAACAUCACGUACAAAUAUAGUUUCCUACUUAAAAGAAAAAUAAAAUAUUCUAACGACUCUAACAAGUUGAAACUAGGCCAAAAAGGAGUGGAAAUAUUUGAAUUAAUAAAUAUUUUAAAAAAAUACGACUACCACAUCACACGUAAGAUACAUUUAAGUUGGCAAAAUUUUGAUCAUUCAAUUGUUCCUUCUCUCAACUGCAAUAAAUAAUAUUAAUAUAUUACCGAGAGAUACUAAAGAAAAUAGAAUUGAGAAAAUGAAAUGACUUUACGAACAACUUCAAAUAUCAUCGGGAGGAAUUUACUUUUCUUCUUCGAACGUUACGUGAAAAUAGAAAAGGUAGCUAUUAAAAAUAGUAUCCCAGUACUCGUUUAACGUUCGAACGAAGAUUCGAGGGAGGGAAACUUUCCUCAAAAUAAAAAGAAGAGAAGAAAAAAAUAAAAAACAUAAACGAGACAAAUUAGAGCAUACCAAUCAGUGACGCGAUCAAAACGAAAUUUCUUCGGACCGUAUAAUUGAUUGGAAAUUAUUCUUCGCGCCAAGA